RNAcentral lists this ribosomal RNA (451 nucleotides) under uncultured bacterium. RNAcentral describes it as "partial 16S ribosomal RNA". It matches the Rfam family "Bacterial small subunit ribosomal RNA", at positions 29 to 523 of the family's 1533-position model. The record is from RNAcentral.
AACGAACGCUGGCGGCAGGCUUAACACAUGCAAGUCGAACGGGUGUAGCAAUACAUCAGUGGCAGACGGGUGAGUAACACGUGGGAACCUUCCUAGGGGUACGGAACAACUCAGGGAAACUUGAGCUAAUACCGUAUACGUCCGUGAGGAGAAAGAUUUAUCGCCCUUAGACGGGCCCGCGUCGGAUUAGCUAGUUGGUGGGGUAAAGGCCUACCAAGGCGACGAUCCGUAGCUGAUCUAAGAGGAUGAGCAGCCACACUGGGACUGAGACACGGCCCAGACUCCUACGGGAGGCAGCAGUGGGGAAUCUUGGACAAUGGGCGCAAGCUUGAUCCAGCCAUGCCGCGUGAGUGAAGAAGGUCUUCGGAUUGUAAAGCUCUUUUGCCAGGGACGAUAAUGACGGUACCUGGAGAAUAAGCCCCGGCAAACUUCGUGCCAGCCGCCGCCGUAA